CUCGGAAGGAAUGGGGGGCGCAGGGCAGUGGGGUUGGGAGAGCUGACAGCAUGUUCUGACCCUGAACCACACGAGGCCAGACUCGCCUAAUUAACUGUACUAAUUGCAUAGAGGGAGCUUUAAGCAAAGAGACAGACCCAAAACACUAUGGAAUCAAAGAACAUCCAAGUUUAGAAUCCCCUAGUCUGACUCCCUCCACCUGCAAUAAAAAUCAAAACCUCUCAGCACCAAGACUUGUUUUGCUUCAGCUCCCCACAGAGCUCUGCACAAGACCAGGUACAAGGGAAAGGCUAUGCUUUGAUUAUUUUAAUCCAUAUCUCUUGUUUUCCUUACCCAGCAUCUAUUGCUCCUUUUCCAUCUCAGGAAACAACCCGCCCAGUUUGGUGGGCCUGUCAAUCAAGGCAACCCUCCUCCCCCUGCCCAGGAGGUGGGCACUCAGCCCAGGCCAAGCCAAUCAGAUGCUUUCUUCCCUGAACAGAGGCAGAGUGGAUUCCCCCAACAAGCCUGUCCAUGGGCUCAAAUGUCAUCCACAUCCCUGGAGCUGAAAUAGUCUUUAACUUUGUGGAGACCUGUUCUGCACUUUUUUCCGCUUGAGAGCUCCCCAAUACAAUCCUUUCUGAUUUAAGGAUGCCAGAGUUCUGUGUCUAUUGUUUGUACCCAAAGAACCCAAACUUUCCUACUUGGCAUCAAGAAAAAACUCAGAUAAAAACAACGAAAAUAAUUAGCAUUGACCUGGUUGCUAUGAAUAAGUUAUUUUCACAUCCACUGUCUCUUCUGCACUUAGAGCAAACCAGCAGCUCAGGGAGGUUCAGUGCCUUGCCCUAGCCCACACAGCUAGCAGGUGACUAAAAAUAUGGCCUCAAACCAGCUCGUGAGCUUCCUGGACGAGAGCUCUGUAGUCCAGAUGGGAACCUCGGUUGCAUCAGUCCUCCCCACCCCAGCCAGUCCUUUGUGGGCGUUGAAGUUUUCCCUACUUGCAGGUUAUGUGGAACUAUUUUACAGAUUCCUCAGGGGCAGGAAGAAGCCCUGUCUCCUGCCCCUCCUUUUCAGAGUCAGGCCUCCACCGGAAUCUGUGUCCAGGCCCCAAGCAAGUUCUCCAUGCUAGAGCCGCUCAUGGAAAGUGGAGUCAGCAAAUAAGCAAACCUCAGGCCUUGGCAAGAUUCAUGUCGGAAACAUCUAUUUGAAGUCCUCGGGGCUCAGUGGUAAAGAAUGCGGACAAAAGCUUACAUUCUAAUGAAAAAGAUAUUUUACAGACGAAUAUACAACAUAAUAACACAUUAUAUAUACAAUACACAGUUCUAUGCAUUUAUAUACAGAGUUGACCCUUGAACAACAUGGGUUUGAACAGCACAGGGCCACUUAGACACAGAUAUUUUUCCUUUCUUUUUUUUUUUUUUUUUUUUUUUGUCUUCUUGCCUUUUCUAGGGCUGCUCCCAUGGCAUAUGGAGGUUCCCAGGCUAGGGGUCCAAUCAGAGCUGUAGCCACCAGCCUAUGCCAGAGACAUAGCAAUGCGGGAUCCAAGCCGCAUCUGCAACCUACACCACAGCUCACGGCAACACCGGAUCCUUAACCCACUGAGCAAGGCCAGGGAUCAAACCCGCAAUCUCAUGGUUCCUAGUCAGAUUUGUUAACCACUGCGCCACAAUGGGAACUCCCACAGAUAUUUUGCAAUAAAUACAAUUGGCCCUUUGUAUCGGCUGACGCCAAAUCUGCAGAUUUGGAGGGCCAACUGUGGGAUUUGAGCAUCUGCAGUUUGGUGUCUGCAACUGGUCCUGGAACCAAUCCCCAGUGGAGACCUAGGGCAGACUAUAAUAUAACACCAGGUAAUGAUAAAUGCAAUGAAGAGAUACAAAACAGAACAAAGAGCUGGAAGUGGAGUUUUACAAAGACAGGGGUGGGGGAGUACAUUUUAACAGAGAUUGGAAUGAGCACAAAGCAAAUUAGGCGACCAUCUGAGGAAGAGCAUGCAAACCAAGCAAGAAAAGUGCAGAAGGGGCUUCUGAGUCGUGCAGGGAACUUCCCAGAGGCCAGUCUGUGCCCAGGUGGCAACAGGGAUUGAGGGUAGGGAACAGGCAGAGCCACAUGAGGCAGGACAAGCAGGGUCCCAGUAAGGACUUCAUAUUCAGUCCCAAGUGUGCUCAGGAGCUACAAGAGGGUUAGGGGGUUGGAUGGAGGGAAAGAGAAGAGCAUCAUCUUUUUUUUUUUUUUUUUUAAUUGUCUUUUAGGGCCACACCAGCAGCAUAUAGAAGUUCCCAGGCUAGGGGUAAAAUUGGAGCUGCAGCCACCAGCCAAUGCCAUAGCCACAGCAAUGCCAGAUCUGAGCCACAUCCUCCACCUACGUACGCCACAGCUUUCACCAACACCAGAUCCUUAACCCACUGAGUGAGGCCAGGGAUCGAACCCACAUCCUCAUGGAUGCUAGUCAGGUUCUUAAUCUGCUGAGCCACAAUGGGAACUUCAGCAUGAUCUAUUAUUAAGUCAUUCUAGCUAGUGGAAACAGCAUGAUGGAGAAACAAAACGUGGUAUAUCCACACAAUGAAACAUUGUUUGGCAUAAACAGGAAUAAGUACUGCUAUGUGCCAGAUACACAAAAAAAAACACAUACUGUAUGUUUUCAUCUAUCAGAAAGAUUCAGAAGAGGCAAGUCCGUAGAGACAGAAAGCAGAUCAGUGGUUGCCAGGGUCGGGGGGAAAAUGGGAUGGGGAGUGAGUGAUAACAGGCAUGUAGGGUUUCCUUUCCGGGGUGAUGAAAAUGUUCUGGAACAACACAGCAACGACAGUCACACAACACUGUCAGCAUUCUAAAUGCCAGUAACUUAGACACUUUAAAAUGAUUAAAGUGGUGAUGUUCAUGUUCUGUGUAUUUAAAUACUUUAAACAAUUUAAAAAUAAAGGGUUGGAGUUCCCGUUGAGAUGCAGCGGAAAUGAAUCUGAUUAGCAUCCACGAGGAUGUAGGUUUGAUUCCUGGCCUCGCUCAGUGGGUUAAGGAUCCGGCGUUGCCAUGAGCUGCGGUGUAGGUCACAGAUGUGGCUCAGAUCUGGUGUUGCUGUGGCUCUGGUGUAAGCCAACAGCAACAGCUCCAAUUAGAUCCCUGGCCUGGAAACCUCCAUAUGCCAUGGGUACAGCCCUAAAAAAAAGACAAAUAAAUAAAUAAAUAAGGAUUCUGACUUACAUAUGCAGAGAAGAGAUAGGGAAAGAAGGAAACAAAAACCAAGAGGAACGCUCAUCCAGUUCUGCCUCUGCUCUGGCACUUUCCUUCCCUUCGCCAAGCCUCAAAUCCUGCACCCAUGAAAAUAGGGGCCCACCUCUUGGGCUUGGUAAGAGGACUGGAACACUUCUGAAGUGACCCAGGGCUCCGUCCAUGGAUCUUUCCUCUUUCUGACUCAGACUCACUCCCCUGGAGAUCUCAUCCAGGCUCACGGCUUUGAUUUCCACCUCCCAACUUAACUCCAGCCCAGUCUCACCUGAACUCCGUCCGACCCGGCGUUUCCACUGAGUUUCUAGCUGGCACCUCCAACUUAACGCGGCCAGGAUAAACUGCUGGUCUCUGCCCCUCCCCUAAUGUUCAGCCUUGCUCCCUAUCUCUGUAAACAAAGACUCCAGCCUUCCAGAGGGAGGGCAAAUAACCAGGAGUCCUUGACUUACCUCUCUUGAUCUCAUCCCCAUCAGUAAAUGCGGCCGAUGCUGCUUUCAAAAUACAUCCAGAAUCCGACCCCUUCUGGUCCAGGCCACCACCACCUCUAGCCUGGAUUACUGCAAUAGCCUCCCGGCUCUCUCAGAUUCUGCCGUUGGCCCUCCAGUCUGUUUUCAACAUGGCAGCUCAAGAGAUCCUGUCCAAAUAUAAGUGACAGUGUGUCCAUCCUCUGCUGAACCAAAAAACUUCCCACUGAAGACCCUUGUUCCUUUUACCCGCUCUCCCACAUGCCCAUAUAACACACACCCUUACCUCCCCCCUGUCUACACAGAGAGCGCUUCUCAGCAAAGUCUCUGCUGGCCACCUAUUUAGGGUUGUCAGAUAAAGUACAGAAUUCCCAGUUAAAUGUGCAUACUCAGAUAAACCAGGAGUGACUUUUUCGUAUAUGAAUGUCUCAUGCAAUAGCUGGGACAUUUUUACACAGGGCAGGCUUAUACUUUAAAAUGUUCUGUUACUAGAUGACUAGCUAAAGAAGAAUAUGAUAGAUAGACAGGUAGGUAGAGAUAUAAUACUACUCAGCCAUAAAAAAAAAAAAGAAUGAAAUUUUGCCAUUUACGACAACAUGGGUAGAUUUGGAGGGUAUUAGGCUUAGUGAAAUAAGUCAGACAGACAGAGAAAGACAAAUACUCUAUGUCAUCACUUCUAUGUGGAAUCUAAAAAAUAAACCAGUGAGUACAACAAAACAGAAACAGACUCACAGAGAGAACAAAUUAGUGGUUACCAGUGGGGAAAGGGAAGGGAGAGGGGCAAUAUAGGGUUAGGGGAUUAAAACAGUUAAAAACCACUACGCGUAAAAUAAGCUACAAGGCUGUAUUACACACCACAGGGAUUAUGGCCAUUACUUUAUAAUAACAUUAAAUGAAGUAUUAUCUAUAAAAAUACUGAAUUAAUAUGUUGUACACCUGAAACUAAUACUGUAAAUCAACUAUACUUCAAAAA
RNAcentral lists this long non-coding RNA (4632 nucleotides) under Sus scrofa (pig). RNAcentral describes it as "lncRNA (ENSSSCG00000056041.1)". Lineage: Eukaryota; Metazoa; Chordata; Mammalia; Artiodactyla; Suidae. The record is from RNAcentral.